Molecule: ribosomal RNA, 403 nt
Filed under: uncultured bacterium
Lineage: Bacteria
Description: partial 16S ribosomal RNA
Rfam family: Bacterial small subunit ribosomal RNA
Source: RNAcentral
AUUGAACGCUGGCGGCAGGCCUAAAACAUGCAAGUCGAGCGAGCGGCGGACGGGUGAGAAAUGUAUGGGGACUGCCCGAUAGAGGGGGAUAACUACUGGAAACGGUGGUUAAUACCGCAUACUAUGGGAGAACCCAGAUGGGAUUAGCUAGUAGGUGGGGUAAAGGCUCACCUAGGAGACGAACACGAGCUGGUCUGAGAGGCUGACCAGCCACACUGGGACUGAGACACGGCCCAGACUCCUACGGAGGCAGCAGUGGGGAAUAUUGCACAAUGGGCGCAAGCCUGAUACAGCCAGGCCGCGUGUAUGAAGAAGGCCUUAGGGUUGUAAAGUACUUUCAGCGGGGAGGCGUUACCCGCAGAAGAAGCACCGGCUAACUCCGUCCCAGCAGCCGCGGUAAUAC